This is a long non-coding RNA of Beta vulgaris subsp. vulgaris (sugar beet), 777 nucleotides long. RefSeq lists it as uncharacterized. Lineage: Eukaryota; Viridiplantae; Streptophyta; Magnoliopsida; Caryophyllales; Amaranthaceae. The transcript has 2 exons. The record is from RefSeq and is a predicted model, not a curated record.
UAUAUCCUCAUAAAAUGAUCUAUUAUUCUGGUAUCUCCUCGCAAAAAACUCAAUUUUUGUUGUGGUCGGCAUUUCUAAACCAAAACUCAAACCCCAAAUUUUCUUCUCUCUCCCCGUGUCUCUCAAAACUCCAAAUCCCAUCCCGGUGAAACCCCAACUCCUUACUCCUCACCAUCUCUUUCACUGACCUUCGCUUCCCCCUCCGUCAUCUGCGAGUCGCCGGAGCCGCGUCGAAGAGCCUUGUCGCUGCUGCUGCUCCUUUCUUUCAUUCUCCUCAUGGUUUGCAUAUCCCCUGUUUUGUUCUAUUGUGCUGCCGCAGACGUGAGGAUUGUCGCGCCACCAUCUUGUCUCGCAGGAGGUUUUGCUGCUGGUGGUGGUCGUGUGUAGCUGGUGUUGUAGAUGUUCCCCUGCACCUUAUCGUGAUGCAUUGUGGUUCCUCCCUCUCUUCAGUUUGUUCGUUGCUACUGCUGUGGUGGCGGUGUUGGCGCCGCCGUGGCCUGCUACGACCAGCGCUUCGCUAUUGGUGGUGGUGAUUGUCGCCACUACUUCUGGUGUUGUCGGUUUAGGUUUGGUGUGGUGAGCUCGGAAUUGGAUGUGAAGCAAGAUUAUGAUGUUGUCCUAGAUUAAGGAUUUAGUUUGUAUUUUAGAUAGUUGAUUUGAGAAUAGUUCUCAAAGAUAUUUUCGUUGUAUAUUAUAUUUGGUAUUAAGUGGAACUAUUGAUGUAAUUAAGGUUGUUUUUUUGCUGCAAUUUUAUUAAUCAAGAUUUGGAUUCUAGUU